GGAAAAUCAAUAUUCCAUUCCAUGUGGACGAAUAACGACCCUCAGUCGAAUUGAUUCUACAUUGGGAAGCUCGUUCCACAUAGUGGUGGUGCGCGGCAAAAUCGGUCUUAGAAACGCUUAGUUAUGGAACGAUAGAGGUCGAGGUGCUACGUCAGUCACCGUGACCACGCACGCUGGAAAACACGCAAAACGUCGGAAAAAA
Molecule: long non-coding RNA, 202 nt
Organism: Pieris brassicae (large cabbage white)
Lineage: Eukaryota; Metazoa; Arthropoda; Insecta; Lepidoptera; Pieridae
Exons: 3
Source: RefSeq, a predicted model, not a curated record